CAGUAGCCACGGUAAUACGGAGGGUGCAAGCGUUAAUCGGAAUUACUGGGCGUAAAGCGCACGCAGGCGGUCUGACAAGUCAGAUGUGAAAUCCCCGGGCUUAACCUGGGAACUGCAUUUGAAACUGUCAGGCUGGAGUCUUGUAGAGGGGGGUAGAAUUCCAGGUGUAGCGGUGAAAUGCGUAGAGAUCUGGAGGAAUACCGGUGGCGAAGGCGGCCCCCUGGACAAAGACUGACGCUCAGGUGCGAAAGCGUGGGGAGCAAACAGGAUUAGAUACCCCAGUAGUCCCUGUCUCUUAUAC
This 301-nucleotide ribosomal RNA is filed under the name uncultured bacterium. Its description in RNAcentral is "partial 16S ribosomal RNA". It matches the Rfam family "Bacterial small subunit ribosomal RNA", at positions 509 to 807 of the family's 1533-position model. The record is from RNAcentral.